Molecule: ribosomal RNA, 253 nt
Filed under: uncultured bacterium
Lineage: Bacteria
Description: partial 16S ribosomal RNA
Rfam family: Bacterial small subunit ribosomal RNA
Source: RNAcentral
UACGAAGGGGGCGAGCGUUGUUCGGAUUUACUGGGCGUAAAGGGCGCGUAGGCGGCCCUUCAAGUCAGGCGUGAAAGCCCCGGGCUCAACCUGGGAGGUGCGCUUGGGACCGGAGGGCUGGAGUUCGGGAGAGGAGCGUGGAAUUCCCAGUGUAGAGGUGAAAUUCGUAGAUAUUGGGAAGAACACCGGUGGCGAAGGCGGCGCUCUGGACCGAGACUGAUGCUGAGGCGCGAAAGCGUGGGGAGCAAACAGG